RNAcentral lists this ribosomal RNA (484 nucleotides) under uncultured bacterium. RNAcentral describes it as "partial 16S ribosomal RNA". It matches the Rfam family "Bacterial small subunit ribosomal RNA", at positions 30 to 507 of the family's 1533-position model. The record is from RNAcentral.
AUUGAACGCUGGCGGCAUGCCUAACACAUGCAAGUCGAGCGGAUGCAGGGAGCUUGCUCCUGGAUUCAGCGGCGGACGGGUGGGUAAUGCCUAGGAAUCUGCCUUGUAGUGGGGGAUAGCGUCCGGAAACGGGCGCUAAUACCGCAUACGUCCUGAGGGCGACAGUGGGGGGUCUUCGGACCUCACGCUAUCAGAUGAGCCUAGGUCGGAUGAGCUAGUUGGUGGGGUAAAGGCCUACCAAGGCGGCGAUCCGUAACUGGUCUGAGAGGAUGAUCAGUCACACUGGCACUGAGACACGGUCCAGACUCCUACGGGAGGCAGCAGUGGGGAAUAUUGGACAAUGGGCGAAAGCCUGAUCCAGCCAUGCCGCGUGUGUGAAGAAGGUCUUCGGAUUGUAAAGCACUUUAAGUUGGGAGGAAGGGCAGUAAGUUAAUACCUGGCUGUUUUGACGUUACCAACAGAAUAAGCACCGGCUAACUUCGUG